CGGUGAAAUGCGUAGAGAUUAGGAAGANCAUCAGUGGCGAAGGCGGCUUUCUGGACUGUAACUGACGCUGAGGCAUGAAAGCGUGGGGAGCAAACAGGAUUAGAUACCCUGGUAGUNCACGCCGUAAACGAUGAAUACUAGGUGUAGGAGGUAUCGACUCCUUCUGUGCCGCAGUUAACACAAUAAGUAUUCCGCCUGGGAAGUACGGUCGCAAGAUUAAAACUCAAAGGAAUUGACGGGGACCCGCACAAGCAGCGGAGCAUGUGGUUUAAUUCGAAGCAACGCGAAGAACCUUACCUAGACUUGACAUCUCCUGAAUUACUCGUAACUGAGGAAAUCCCUUCGGGGACAGGAAGACAGGUGGUGCAUGGUUGUCGUCAGCUCGUGUCGUGAGAUGUUGGGUUAAGUCCCGCAACGAGCGCAACCCUUAUCAUUAGUUGCUAACAGUAAGUUGAGCACUCUAGUGAGACUGCCUGGGUUAACCAGGAGGAAGGUGGGGAUGACGUCAAAUCAUCAUGCCCCUUAUGUCUAGGGCCACACACGUGCUACAAUGGUGGGGACAAAAAGAUGCGAAACCGCAAGGUUGAGCCAAACUCAAAACCCCAUCCCAGUUCGGAUUGUAGGCUGAAACUCGCCUACAUGAAGCCGGAGUUGCUAGUAAUCGCGAAUCAGAAUGUCGCGGUGAAUACGUUCCCGGGUCUUGUACACACCGCCCGUCACACCAUGAGAGUCGGCAACACCCGAAGCCCGUGAGGUAACCUUUUGGAACCAGCGGUCGAAGGUGGGGUUGAUAAUUGGGGUGAAGUCGUAACAAGGUAGCCGUAGGAGAACCUGC
This 835-nucleotide ribosomal RNA is filed under the name uncultured bacterium. Its description in RNAcentral is "bacterial SSU rRNA". It matches the Rfam family "Bacterial small subunit ribosomal RNA", at positions 679 to 1515 of the family's 1533-position model. The record is from RNAcentral.